This 253-nucleotide ribosomal RNA is filed under the name uncultured bacterium. RNAcentral's name for it is "partial 16S ribosomal RNA". It matches the Rfam family "Bacterial small subunit ribosomal RNA", at positions 524 to 776 of the family's 1533-position model. The record is from RNAcentral.
UACGUAGGUGGCGAGCGUUAUCCGGAAUGAUUGGGCGUAAAGGGUGCGUAGGCGGCCUGCUAAGUCUGGAGUGAAAGGUACCGGCUCAACCGUGGAACAGCCCUUGAUACUGCGCGACUUGAAUCCGGGAGAGGGUGGCGGAAUUCCAGGUGUAGGAGUGAAAUCCGUAGAUAUCUGGAGGAACAUCAGUGGCGAAGGCGGCCACCUGGACCGGUAUUGACGCUGAGGCGCGAAAGCGUGGGGAGCAAACAGG